CGGCACAACCGAAAAUCCUUUCCUGAUCAAGGCAGUAUGAAAAUGCAAUCUUAUGUGUUCCUGAAUCUUUCCUGACCUCAUGAAGGAAUUAUCAAUGACUGAGAUGAACACUGAUGAAGUAGCCAGGACAAGAUGAAAGAGGCUGACUGUAUUCAUGGCUCACUGGGAGUUGGAUGGUGCAGGCUCUGGAAGAUCACCAACUAAGGUUGCUGAGCCUGAGAAGUCAGGAUGUGUCCUUGCAGUUCUCUGUGUUUCC
Camelus dromedarius (Arabian camel) is the source of this 256-nucleotide long non-coding RNA. RefSeq lists it as uncharacterized. The record is from RefSeq and is a predicted model, not a curated record. The transcript is spliced from 3 exons. Lineage: Eukaryota; Metazoa; Chordata; Mammalia; Artiodactyla; Camelidae.